RNAcentral lists this long non-coding RNA (485 nucleotides) under Rattus norvegicus (Norway rat). Its description in RNAcentral is "long non-coding RNA NONRATT008289". The record is from RNAcentral. Lineage: Eukaryota; Metazoa; Chordata; Mammalia; Rodentia; Muridae.
UUGACCACCCCUACUAAAUCUGGAGUUGACUGUGUUAAACUAAUAAUAGUUUUGACUGGCCUCAAAAAUCAAUCACAGCAAUUCUUUCACCUCAGCCUCCCAAGUGCUGAGAAGACAAGCAUGUGCCACAAUACAUUGCUUUAUUGUGUUUUAAAAUCAUGCAAAAUAAGAUUGUUAGCCAAGACUCUAAGCAUAGAGCAAACUCAGGUGGCACAGGGAAUGGACGGGCCCAGAACAGAAGUGAGGGAAACACUUGGUGAAGACCCUGGUGAGGCUCAGCUUUGGUAAUUGCUACUAACUAGGAACACGAUAACUGAAUUGGUUAAUUAAUUAGCAAUCUUUUGACAAGUUCAUGUAUUUCUACAUUGAUUGUAAUUGCUCCCAUUGACUCUCUCCUCCAGGUUCCAAUCAAACCAUUCCUCUUGUUAGCUGCACAGCUUCUACUUGUGAUUGGUUAAAAUAAAAUGAAUUAAUAAAAUGCAAAU